GAAUUAAAGCUCCGGCGGUUAAAGAUAAGCAUGCGGGACAUUAGCUAGUUGGUAAGUGUAACGGCUUACCAAGGCGACGAUGUCUAGGGGGUUUGAGAGGAUGAUCCCCCACACUAGUACUGAGACACGGACCAGACUCCUACGGGAGGCAGCAGUGAGGAAUAUUGGGCAAUGGGCGCAAGCCUGACCCAGCCAUGCCGCGUGCAGGAUGAAGGUCCUAUGGAUCGUAAACUGCUUUUGUAUGGGAAGAACUUCCCGCAUUCGUGCGGGAUUGACGGUACUAUACGAAUAAGGACCGGCUAACUCCGUGCCAGCAGCCGCGGUAAUACGGAGGGUCCAAGCGUUAUCCGGAUUCACUGGGUUUAAAGGGUGCGUAGGUGGAACGAUAAGUCGAUGGUGAAAGCCUACAGCUUAACUGUAGAAUUGCCAUUGAUACUGUUGUUCUUGAGUAUAGUCGGGGGAAGUGGAAUGCGUAAUGUAGCGGUGAAAUGCAUAGAUAUUACGCAGAACACCGAUCGCGAAAGCAGCUUCCUAGGCUAUUACUGACACUGAGGCACGAAAGCGUGGGGAGCGAACAGGAUUAGAUACCCUGGUAGUCCACGCCGUAAACGAUGCUCACUCGCUGUUGGCGAUAUAUUGUCAGCAGUUAAGCUAAAGCAUUAAGUGAGCCACCUGGGAAGUACGUCCGCAAGGAUGAAACUCAAAGGAAUUGACGGGGGCCCGCACAACCGGUGGAACAUGUGGUUCAAUUCGAUGAUACGCGAGGAACCUUACCUGGGCUUAAAUGUAGUUUGACUUCCGCCGAAAGGCGGUUUUCCUUCGGGACAAAUUACAAGGUGCUGCACGGCUGUCGUCAGCUCGUGCCGUGAGGUAUCGGGUUAAGUCCCUUAACGAGCGCAACCCCUAUUGUUAGUUACCAACAGGUUAAGCUGGGGACUCUAGCAAAACUGCCAGCGUAAGCUGGAGGAAGGUGGGGAUGACGUCAAGUCAGCAUGGCCCUUAUGUCCAGGGCUACACACGUGUUACAAUGGCCGAUACAAAGGGCAGCCACC
Molecule: ribosomal RNA, 1052 nt
Filed under: uncultured organism
Description: bacterial SSU rRNA
Rfam family: Bacterial small subunit ribosomal RNA
Source: RNAcentral